CCCCUCACUCUCUCCACUCCCAGACUCCCAGUCCACUCACGAUGGCAGAUCUCGGCGAGUCACCCACCCCACCGCCUCCGCUCUCGCCCCCACAGCCGGCGACCUCGUCUCGCACCGCCACCCCAUCUCAUCCCCUCCCCAACUCCCCUCCACUCAUCCGACGGCGGCUAGAGACGCACACAACCGGCGACCAACAUCACACAAAGGUCGCCACCGCCGGCGGUGGAAGGACAGUCUUCUCCCGCCGCUAGCCGCAACCUCUGCCUCGCCCUGAUCCUCGGCCUCCUCGACCGCCGCUCGCUCUCCUGGGAAGCACCUCGCCACCUCCCUUCCCAUGCUGUCUUCGCCGACUGCCCUGCUCGCGCCGACCUCGCGAAUCUCGCGGCCGCGCUUGGCAGUGCUCGACUUGUCCUCGCCGCCGCCAGCGGCGACGGGUCCUUCCCGUGCCUCUACCGCCUCGUGGCCGAGUCCUCCUCUCCCCAAAUCGACACCCGCCCCUUUGUCGAGCCUGCCGUGCCAGCGACAUGAGCAGGAUGGUGGCCGUCGAGGCUUCGGAUGCGGUCGACGCAGAUGAGAACAGUUCAUAGAGUCGUACCAGCCCAGCAAUCUGUUCAUGCCAAAUGAUUGAGUCCUGGUGAGGUUCAUUGCUGGACAUGCAUGGUCUCCGCAGGCAAGGAACACAUAAAAGUAAUUCAGCGUGUUAUCAGAAACUCAUGAGCAUGAAAGAGAAAUUUGGAUCAUGUUCGAACAUGGUAGAGAGCAGAUCGAGGAGAACUUGAAGAUUAAAGGCAAUGAAAGGUUCCGUAAAAUGGCAGCGGGUAGAGUUCUUGUUCUACACAAAGGAAGUUAACUAACCUUCUUGUAUUAUCUUUAUAUCUGCAUGAUUUUGGUAGAUUGAGUUGUGCAAUGGAUUAACUACUUUGGUUCAAGUUUUCUUCUUCCUAGGCUGGUCGAGAUUAAGAAAACCAAAAAAAAUAAAAAACAUAGGAGAGUAGAAGAAACCACACAGAAAAGCAUAGAGUCAGGGGGCAGCAUCAUCUCGUCCUCCAUUAGUAGUAAUUUUUCUCGGACACAAAUCUUAUUUCUCAUACGCCAUUGACAAGACAAACUUGCUUGGAGUUUUGGCUCCAGGGAGCAUAUACUCCCUGGUGAACAGUAAAUAGAAAACAAAAUCCUGAAGAUGGAUCUUGUUUUGUAAACACAAUAAUUUUUCAAAAUCCUGAAGUUUUUCUGUAGACUUUCAUGUUAGUGUAACAAGCGUGCUUGCCAAUUAUUUCGGUCUACUCCUUGCUCUUGCUUUGGUGUCAUCACUCUACUUCUCUCCAUACAGUUUCACCCUGACAUGAAAAGCUAGUUCUUAUUAUCCAUGUCAUUUGUUUUUGUAUGCAUUGGUAACACUCACAUGUACAUAUGUGCUCCUCAAAUAUUUGGAUUUUGAACCACCAGACCAUUCAAAUAAAUGCAUGGACUCUUACCUAGAUAUAAAUAAAUGGCAGGGAUAGUUGCAUCAGUACAUGCUUGAGGAACACUAUGUUUGACCACGAAGAUAGGUUUGUGCCAAGUACUGAUUUGUGAUUUGUGACAAGUACUGAUUUGUCACAAGUAUAUAUACAAACUGAAGAUAGUUCCAUCAGUAUAUAUAAAAACUGAAGAUAGUCAACUAAGUGCAUAUAAGUGCAUAAUGGAUUCCAUAUCAAUUAUGUACCACAGUUAUUUUAACAAGCUCUUGAUAAUUAAAAAAAAGGAACACUAUGGAGCAUGUACUCCCUCUUUUCCAAAUUACUCGUCGCAGAAAUUGAUGUAUCUAGAACUAAAAUACAUCUAGAUACAUCCAUACAUGCGACAAGUAAUUCGGAACGGAGGGAGUAUAUAGCAAAUUAUCCUCUCUGAGCCAUGUUCUUGGUACAGAUUACUUCGGUAGAACGUCAGAUAAAUUAUAGCCGGGGUUAGGAUACCUCUCGAGAAGCAGUAUAUGCCUCGCUAGCACACAAGAACAGUCAGCUCCAUGUAUGAAUCGGACGAACAGUUGGGGCUAUGUCACACCACCAAUCGAACACCGCGCCAGGACCCUUGUCUCGCUCGCAGCCGCGCCGGCACCCGUGGAUCGCUGGAAGCCAGGCCGGCACCCGUGUCUAGCUGGCAGCCGUGCCCGGCACCGGGGGCAAAGUUUGAAGAAACAGGCCUCGCACACCUGAUCCGAUGGCAAACUUUGAAGAAACAGUUCAAAUCCACAUGAUCCGAACGCAAACCUGGAAGCAUGGAGAAUCAGGCCUUGCUCGCCCCGCUCGGAAGAUAGGAUUUGGAAAUUGUUUGUUGUAUAUGGAAAGAGCAAAAAUAUUAGAUUAAACUAUUGUUUAUGGAAGCUUCUCGUGACGGAAUUUUCCGAUAUGGUUCCAUAUGAUUUGAUUUGAUUGGUGUCGUAAAUUGAAGGGAAGGACGGAAGGUUUGUUGUUUUAUAUGGAAAGGGGAUGGAACGUUU
RNAcentral lists this ribosomal RNA (2479 nucleotides) under Triticum aestivum (bread wheat). RNAcentral describes it as "partial small subunit ribosomal RNA". The stretch from base 1758 to 1872 matches the Rfam family "MIR1120/MIR1122 microRNA precursor family". The record is from RNAcentral. Lineage: Eukaryota; Viridiplantae; Streptophyta; Magnoliopsida; Poales; Poaceae.